UUGAUAAAGAUCCACUUCUUUUUAAUCUCUUGAGCUCAAACACAACACAGGCCAUAUCAGUAUCUCCACAUCUCAUAACAGGGAACCAGGACAGGUGAUGGGGGUCAGGGGACUCUGUGCAACUUUCCCAGGUACAUGCAGCUUCCCUUUAGGGUCUGAACCUUCAAGCACUAGUCCCUGUACUCUCAUCUUAAGAAAAGUCUUUGUCUACCCUAUCAAACUGUUGGGUAGGAAAUGUUCACCACACUGCAAGAUCUGCCUAGCAUACAACUCUGAUUUAGAGGAUGGCUCUGCACUAUUGAAUGGGAAAACUGGGAUGAAAGUGAGGAACUGCACACUUCCCUGUGCUCUUCUGCUGGUGGGAUGUCAACAGCUGUCUAUUGUCAUACUGUUCCAGGAUCUUGUCUAAAGAGUUUUAGACGAAAAGGAAGUCAGAGGUCAAGAACAUCGACUGUCCAUUCUGCACUGAAGGUCAGAAAAAUCUUUGUCUUGCCAAAGAACAGGAUACCCCCAACAAAGGAAUCAGUUGAAGCUGCUCCUGAGGACCUGGUGGAAGCGAUUCCGAGAGACAGAGCAGAGGAGGAAGUCACAUCUCUUGGCAAGGUGGACUCAGGAUCCAGUGGACACUUGCCCCUGGAGGAUGCAUGGGAGGAGCUUCCUGGUGACACGGAGGAUAAAGAAACUCCAGAGUACACUGAGGUGAUCUCAAUACAAACAGCAAGUGAUUGGGUCUUACAGAGCGUUUCUGACUAUACCAGUGACGAUGAAGCCUCUUCAGAAGGCAACCUGGCAGAAUCUGAAAGUUAUCUUGGCAGCGGCGAUCUAGGGCUGUCCACAUGUUCCCUUGACGUUAACUACCCUGAAAGUCUACAGGACAUGGAGGACCUCGAUGAAGAUCAGGAAAUGGAAGCCAACAAACUGGAGCCCAGAGGUGGAGAGGCUGCCGUCGAGCCUGACCUGGAGAGUGAUGAAUGGAUGUUCAGGAUCCACGCAGACAUCUUUAGCUGCUCAGAAGUCUGCAGUGUGGAGUCCUGGCAAUCAGAGGAGCUGGAGUUUCCCACACCAUCGGAAACUUGAACUACACAGGAGACCCAACAUCAGCCACAUCCCUCCUCACCAGUCCUCUGCGAACUUUAUAUUAAAUUCUUUCACCUAGUACUAGUUGAUCUUUACAUGCUUUUCUGUAAAAUAAAUACAUCAUAAGAAAACACCUUUAGCAAAGGCAGAACUUAAAAUGAUCAGAGAGCAGUCACCCUAGGGAGUACCACCAUCAUCACUCCCUCGAGAGGAAUCUCAUUUGGUCUUCACUGAGCAAAGUCACUGCCAGGUUGGCUGUUAAAAUCUGUCCUUACAGUAAUGACUUUCUAGGGUUUUUGUCUCACGUCUGUUCCUUCCUCUGGAAGGGAUCAUGGGGUCCAUCUCACCCAAGAUCUCUCACAAAGUCUUGGAUGCCAAUGUUAUUUUUCACCUAAUGGCAGCUUGGAUGGCACAAAGUUCUUGGCUCUUCUUGAGCAUCUUAAAUAUUGUCUUCUUUUUCCUCCCAACCCAGACCAGCUGGAUCAUUUUCAUUCCCUUCUAUGUUACUCAUCCCUGUAUUCUAGAUCUCUGAAUAUUUUUCAUAUAAUUCCCAGAUUUUACUAGGCUAUAAAUGGCUUCACUCACUCAAAGUAUGACCCAGUUUUCUGUGAAGGAGGAGUUUGAGAGCAUAUUGUCAUUUCCGGAAACAGUCUGAAUUAUAAUUAUUAGCUUUAGAUCAUUGCAUUGGUUUUUCCUCUUCCAGCAAUCUCAUUCAUACACAUGCAGGUAUUCAACUUCUGGUAUUCCUCUCUCAUCUUCUGAAAUCUUUGGUCAAGCUCCUAUUCUGUAUAUUUCCUCUCUCACCUUCUGUUUCCUGAAAGGCACAGAUCUGUUUGUGUUUCUUCUGGUUUGCAUUUCAUGGGUGAUGUUAGUUUUUCCUGUUUUCCUCCUUCUUUCCUGAGUCUGCCCAUUCAUUUCUGAGCUUCCCUGAUUCUUAGUAUCAUGUCCUUCCAUGCUUGGUAUCAUUGUCUCAACCAUGUCUCCCUCAUCCUGAAAACUACCCCGCCGAGAACACAAAUUACACAAAGAUGGAAGUGUUUUCAUGUAUCAGAGAGUACUUUCUCUCUCUUUAUUACUGAUUCCUCCCUCUAGUACUUUUAUAUGGGGAUGGGCAUAUUGCCACCAAGAUUCUGGUUUUGUUCCUUUUAAUAGAAAAUUUGGUUUUGGGAAUUCUGCAUGAGCAAUAGGAUUCAGAAAGACUUGUCUUCACAUAGCUUCUCUCAGUUGCUUUUGUGCAAUGCUGGAAAACAUGACACCUGAUUUCUUGGCUCUGCAAUUUACCAUUAUUCCAUAUGAGAUUCCCCUCUGAAAACCCCUCUUUCAACUUAACCGGAUCAUUGCUACUCCAUAGGAAGGCCUGUUAUAUAAGGAAACAAUGGCCCCCAACUUUGCAAAUCUAGAUUUAUAAAAUCCCUUUCUAUGAAGAGUCAGUAUCAGAAUCUCUGAGAUUAUGCAGUUACUUUCUAUGAUGUCUACAAAAUUCUUUUCUCUGAGUGACUGGUUAGCCUGUCUUUAUCGGUCACCAUUUCAUUCAUAGGAUCAUUAAGUUUUAGUUUCUUUUGGUUUCUUUGAAUCACAAAAUUUAGGAGUUUUGGUUUUUUAUUUAUAUUUGUGGCAUUUGAGUUUAGAAUUAGUAAUUUUCACUUUACUUUUACAUCAGUCUUAUUUCAGAAAAAUUUGGUUUCAGUUACCAGAAUGGUUUUUAGUUAGUUAGUUUUAGUUAGUGAGUGCUAUGCAUUUUGAAUCCCUUAGACUAUCAAACAGGUACAUGCAAGAUCAGGUUCACCUAGGUCCACAACUCCAGCAGAAAUGAGUUUUGCCAAGUUCAAGCAUAAACAGCUGGCUUACCACAAUCCCUUGUGUUUGACACAGAAUGGACAAGGAUCAUCUUACUGAUUUGCCCUUGUCCUUAAAUGCACUACCUUGGAAAUAAACUCUCUAAGCAAAAGUACUCUUUGAAUUUUCUUUGCUGAUAUAUAAAAAUUAAUGUACAGGAAAAAAAACUGUUAUCCAUAUAAUGUCAUGAAUCCAAUUCCUGAGCAAUUAAAGAUUUACACACACACAUACACACACACUACAGGAUGGGUGGCUUGGAAAACAAAAUGAUGAUCUUAUACUCACAAACCAGGAGUUCAUGAAUGAACUCUGGCUCCCUGGAGCCUGGGGAUGUUCUACUGCUCACUGUCCAGGGACACCCAUUGGUGGAAUGGCUGAGCCAGGCCCACAGCUGCAUCUUUCUUUUUCAAGAUUUAUUUAUUUAUUUGAAAGGCAGAGUCAGAGAGAGAGAGAGAGAGAGAGAGAGAGAGAGAUCCUCCAUCUACUGGUGGUUCACUCUCCAAAUGGCCAUAACAGCUGGGAUUGGGUCAGGCCAAAGGCAGAAGCCAGGAGCUUCAUCUGGAUCUCCCACGUGGGUGCAGGGGCCCAGGCACUUGGGCCAUCUUCCACUGCUUUUCCAAGUGUAUUAGCAAGGUGCUGGGUAGGAGGUGAAGCAACCGGUCAUAAACUGGUGGCCAUAUGGGAUACCGGCAUUCCAGGUGACAGGAUAACCUGCUGUGCCACAACACUGACCCCCACAGCUGCAUCUUAGCCCUGCCCCCCAACACACAAACACAUACACAUGGCAUCGCUUGUUAGCAAAAGACAAGAUUAAUAUCAUACAAGCUCUUCAAGCCUCUGAUACCCUACAAGCAUGCACAGGUGAUCUCUCCCCAAACUGUCCAGGCAUCGGUUGGCAGGAUUCAUGGAUGGCAUGGUGUGCACCUGUGACUUCAGAAACAUAGGCAUGGCAUGCAGAGGAGGCACUGGGCUGGUCUCCUGAUGCACUUAUGCAUGAUGCAGAUAGUUCAGAGGCAGCAAGUCUAAAAGGGAUAACAGUGGAUGGAACAGGAGCUAUAGCUUCAGACACAGUGAGCAGGAGGCUAGAGAAGUAACUUCCUGGAAACACCUGGAAACCACUCCUGUUAAGCCUCUCAUGUGCUUGGAGGGGCAUUAUGGACCUGUGGCUGGUUUACUGGCUAUUCGAAUGGGACAUGUGGGAGACAACAAACCCCCACACCAGAGGCUGAGGAUAAAGCAUAAAAAAACAGGUAGAAGCACAAGAAUGGGUCUAAUAAAGGACCUUCUGC
Non-coding RNA from Oryctolagus cuniculus (rabbit), 4202 nucleotides. The record is from RefSeq and is a predicted model, not a curated record. Lineage: Eukaryota; Metazoa; Chordata; Mammalia; Lagomorpha; Leporidae.